ACAUGCAGAGAACUUUCCAGAGAUGGAUUGGUGCCUUCGGGAACUCUGACACAGGUGCUGCAUGGCUGUCGUCAGCUCGUGUCGUGAGGUGUUGGGUUAAGUCCCGUAACGAGCGCAACCCUUGUCCUUAGUUACCAGCACGUUAUGGUGGGCACUCUAAGGAGACUGCCGGUGACAACCGAGGAAGGUGGGGAUGACGUCAAGUCAUCAUGGCCCUUACGGCCUGGGCUACACACGUGCUACAAUGGUCGGUACAAAGGGUUGCCAAGCCGCGAGGUGGAGCUAAUCCCAUAAAACCGAUCGUAGUCCGGAUCGCAGUCUGCAACUCGACUGCGUGAAGUCGGAAUCGCUAGUAAUCGUGAAUCAGAAUGUCACGGUGAAUACGUUCCCGGGCCUU
This 397-nucleotide ribosomal RNA is filed under the name uncultured Pseudomonas sp. RNAcentral's name for it is "bacterial SSU rRNA". It matches the Rfam family "Bacterial small subunit ribosomal RNA", at positions 984 to 1382 of the family's 1533-position model. The record is from RNAcentral. Lineage: Bacteria; Pseudomonadati; Pseudomonadota; Gammaproteobacteria; Pseudomonadales; Pseudomonadaceae.